UGGAAACUUGACUCGGCACUUGGUAUAACAUUAUGUCUUGAGUUCAAUAAGCCAAAAGGUGAGAUAAGAGGUAAGGAACAUUUUGUAUUUCCUCUUUUUUCAUUCCUUUCUUUACAAGUAGGAUUGAUUGUGUUACCUUUUACUGUCCCAACAAAAAAAAUCAUGCUACUCGGGUCUUUUACUUUCUGGCUUCAUCACUUGCAAUAGGUACGUAGUCGUUUUGCGGUAACUUUUAGUUUAGGGCUUGAAACUAUAAGCUCGAGUGAUUUGUUUCAUACCAAAUUUCCCUUUUCUACUUGCAAUAGAGUUGGCCUUCAGUUUCUAUAUAGAUGA
This 333-nucleotide long non-coding RNA is filed under the name Durio zibethinus. Its description in RNAcentral is "long non-coding RNA (DZIB_LNC000364)". The record is from RNAcentral. Lineage: Eukaryota; Viridiplantae; Streptophyta; Magnoliopsida; Malvales; Malvaceae.